This is a non-coding RNA of Pteropus alecto (black flying fox), 119 nucleotides long. Lineage: Eukaryota; Metazoa; Chordata; Mammalia; Chiroptera; Pteropodidae. The record is from Rfam.
GUCUAUGGCCAUGCCACCCUGAACAAGCCCAAUCCCGUUUGAUCUCGGAAGCUAAGUAGGGUCAGGCCUAGUUAGUAGUUGGAUGGGAGAUCACCUAGGAAGACCAGGUGCUGUAGGCA